UGGUAGAGGCGGAGGAAGGAAGUGGAAAGGUGACAAGUGUGGGUGGUUGGGUUUUAUGGUGGUGAUGUGGUAUGGAGGUGUUGGAAGGAUGAGCGGGGAAUAUAGGAAGCAGUGAGAGCCGAUGUAAGAGAGGUGGAUAAAGUUGUUAGGUUGAAGGAAGAAGAAGAGAAAAAUGGCGAGGCGGGCGGUUGAGGAAGAAUAGUCAAAAGCGUUCUUCUGAGUUUUUUUUUUAUUGAGAAAGUCGCCACCUUUAUUUUAGAUUUCUCUUUUUAAUUUAAAAAAAAUGUAUUUGUGUUUUUCAAAAAGCAAUGUGUCGUGUGUAAGGUUUUUUUGUGUGAAUUGGUCUGACUCCUUCUUUC
This 359-nucleotide long non-coding RNA is filed under the name Lathyrus oleraceus (garden pea). RNAcentral describes it as "Pisum sativum (pea) long non-coding RNA (PSAT_LNC032039)". Lineage: Eukaryota; Viridiplantae; Streptophyta; Magnoliopsida; Fabales; Fabaceae. The record is from RNAcentral.